Molecule: ribosomal RNA, 253 nt
Filed under: uncultured bacterium
Lineage: Bacteria
Description: partial 16S ribosomal RNA
Rfam family: Bacterial small subunit ribosomal RNA
Source: RNAcentral
UACAGAGGUCUCAAGCGUUGUUCGGAUUCAUUGGGCGUAAAGGGUGCGUAGGCGGCGCGGUAAGUCGGGUGUGAAAUCUCGGAGCUUAACUCCGAAACUGCAUUCGAUACUGCCGUGCUUGAGGACUGGAGAGGAGACUGGAAUUUACGGUGUAGCGGUGAAAUGCGUAGAUAUCGUAAGGAACAUCAGUGGCGAAAGCGGCUUCCUGGACCAGCACCGACGUUCAGGCACGAAAGCGUGGGGAGCAAACAGG